Astatotilapia calliptera (eastern happy) is the source of this 1349-nucleotide long non-coding RNA. NCBI's taxonomy places the organism in Eukaryota, Metazoa, Chordata, Actinopteri, Cichliformes, Cichlidae. The record is from Ensembl.
UAGCAAUUUUGUUUAUUCACUAAUUUGUAACAUGAUCAGGAUUCACAUCACAACACACAUUAUUCACAUAUCCCUUACAGCACAAGAUACACUCAACACCUGCAGCAAUUUGUUUUGUUGUGGAUGGCCGUGGACAGAGAAAGCAGUGUUAAACAGCAGUGGAGCGCUUUUAUAGUGUUAGACUUUAGCAUAUCACUGGAUUGGAUGUGUGUGAAGGCUGUUUUGUGUGUGUUUUAAUUGCAUGACAAAAUGCUUUUCACGUUGACUCGGGUGAUACAGUAAAAUCGUAGAGUCAUGCUUCGACUAGGACCUACGCACAGGCUGGUUGUGUGUGCUGUGCACUGUUAACUAUGAUACCUGAGAGCUGAUGGUGAUGGUAUGAAUAAUUCACUCAGUCAAGACUUAAGGUAGAAACAGCUGUAAGAGGUAUGUGUAAACACUUAUUCCAUCCUUAUUACUGCUAAAAUAACAAUGGCAAGGCCCAAAAACAAACCACACACACGGUACACUGGUGAGCACUGCAUACCUCAUUUGAGUGAAACCAUUGCGGUGGUGACUGUGUGGGAUACAGACCAAUUACUCCCUGAAUCAAGACACUUCCCUUCAUUAAACUGUGGAUGGGUUUUGGUAGAGCAUAAGAGAGCAGUAUGUCAGACACAAAGAAAUCAGCAGAUACUUAUUAACGGAUUCUAAAGCGGGAAAAGAAACCCCAGCUACACAAAGAUUCCCAAAUGAGUGCACAGUUUUGCUCCUCGUUUCAUGACGUUUCACAAAAUCUACAUGCCACAAGUUGGCGACUGGUCUCUUGUCCGUUAGCAGCACAAGCAGGUUUUGCCAUUCAACUGAAAGCUACACAAAUACCUCAACUGAACUUAAGCCAACUGAAAAGUUAAUGUAUAAAAAGCACAAAACAAAAAUAAAGAUAAAAGGUCUCUAUCUUUGGAUGCACCAGAUACAUUCUCCAAUGUUAAAAAUAUCCCUCAAAUAUGACGUCAAGCUGCAGUUUAGACCUGUGUGUGCUCAGAAGCUAUGCUACUGAAAUCACUGGCCAGAGAUUUAUAAAAGGUUUUGGUUGACAGACAUUAAGUGCCUAGACUGAGGAUGUCACACAUAAGGCUUGGGGGCCAGAAUCAGUCCGGCAAAGACUCCAAUCUGGCCCACAGAAUGGCUUUGAUAUUGGACUUUUAACUGUGUUUUCAUGAGCUUUAGAGCUUUUUAUACACAUAAGGACCUCCCCGAUUGCCAUCCAUACUACCCUAAAGUAAUUAAGUAAUAGAUAAACAAUUAAAUCACAGAAAAGAUUGCGUUUUUUCACUAUUAAAUGCAGAAUUUUUUUUCUACAAUGAGUC